Molecule: long non-coding RNA, 728 nt
Organism: Scaptodrosophila lebanonensis
Lineage: Eukaryota; Metazoa; Arthropoda; Insecta; Diptera; Drosophilidae
Exons: 4
Source: RefSeq, a predicted model, not a curated record
AGCAGACAUAUUGGAAUAAAAUUUAAAUAAAAUUUUUGUAACAUUUUUGAGAAAAUACAAAUUUGGAUCUAAUAAUGAUUUUAGUUUUCGUACUAAAGUAGCUGUUUGGAUCAAACAUGGAUCACAGGAUCAAAUAUCUCGUCAAGUCAAAAUUAACUGUUCGCUGUAAUACUUAAACGCACAGGUAAGAAGCUCAUGUAAUGAGCGCUCCAUUGACUAUGGAUUGCAACGGUUUCAAGUAUGGAUAGAAAACCGCGCUAUAUGUCCCAACAGAGUCCCGAACUACGAAAUAUGCAGAUACGGCCGAGCUAAAUUAGGACUUGGCCGUACAUGCGUGUUUCCGUCCACCUUCAUAUGAUAAGCUGUGAUCAUAAUGAAGGCAUCUAGCAGACGGUACCGGCCCUCCAAUUUGAUUCAAGGUCAAUGUGGUGGGGAUGCGUGGAUCGCGUUUCGCUCUAAGCUGCUUUUUUAAUAAUAUUCGCCCAAGCAAGUUACUUGAGACUUGCCAACUUCAAAUAGUUCCACCAGUCUCAACAAACAAAUAUAUGCCGCUGUUACGCUUUAACGACUCUUGAGUAUUCGGCUCUAUUUAUGGGUUGGGCUUGUCUGCCUGCCUAAUUAGUAGACUAGGGCUUCACUAGGAGUCCAAUACCCACAAACACUUGGAACCAGAACGAUGGAGAAUAAUUAGAAGUAUGCAGUUCAAAGCUCAGCCCUGCUUUAUUCCU